GCGACCCCAGGUCGGGCGAGGCCACCCGCCGAGUUUAAGCAUAUCAAUAAGCGGAGGAGAAG
This 62-nucleotide ribosomal RNA is filed under the name Kefersteinia microcharis. Its description in RNAcentral is "partial 26S ribosomal RNA". Lineage: Eukaryota; Viridiplantae; Streptophyta; Magnoliopsida; Asparagales; Orchidaceae. The record is from RNAcentral.